CCCUUUUGGGUGUGACUGCGUACCUUUUGUAUAAUGGGUCAGCGACUUAUAUUCUGUAGCAAGGUUAACCGCAUAGGGGAGCCGGAGGGAAACCGAGUCUUAAUUGGGCGUUAAGUUGCAGGGUAUAGACCCGAAACCCGGUGAUCUAGCCAUGGGCAGGUUGAAGGUUGGGUAACACUAACUGGAGGACCGAACCGACUAAUGUUGAAAAAUUAGCGGAUGACCUGUGGCUGGGGGUGAAAGGCCAAUCAAACCGGGAGAUAGCUGGUUCUCCCCGAAAGCUAUUUAGGUAGCGCCUCGUGAAUUCAUCUCCGGGGGUAGAGCACUGUUUCGGCUAGGGGGCCAUCCCGGCUUACCAACCCGAUGCAAACUGCGAAUACCGGAGAAUGUUAUCACGGGAGACACACGGCGGGUGCUAACGUCCGUCGUGAAGAGGGAAACAACCCAGACCGCCAGCUAAGGUCCCAAAGUCAUGGUUAAGUGGGAAACGAUGUGGGAAGGCCCAGACAGCCAGGAUGUUGGCUUAGAAGCAGCCAUCAUUUAAAGAAAGCGUAAUAGCUCACUGGUCGAGUCGGCCUGCGCGGAAGAUGUAACGGGGCUAAACCAU
This 607-nucleotide ribosomal RNA is filed under the name Salmonella enterica subsp. enterica serovar Braenderup. Its description in RNAcentral is "partial 23S ribosomal RNA". It matches the Rfam family "Bacterial large subunit ribosomal RNA", at positions 582 to 1190 of the family's 2925-position model. Lineage: Bacteria; Pseudomonadati; Pseudomonadota; Gammaproteobacteria; Enterobacterales; Enterobacteriaceae. The record is from RNAcentral.